UCCUUCCUAUUUUUGUGGAUCGUCUUCCCGUGGUAUCCAUUACCGAUUCGGUCAGGCAGCGGCUGGUCAAAGCGGUGCCCCAAUCUCUCUUCCUCCCUAUUGCCGCCUCCCACAUUAUUCCUUAGGCCCGGCCUCCUCUUUCCUCUCUCUUGCUGCCGUGCCAUCUACCGCCGCGGCUGGCGGCGUGAAGGACGGCUGACGGCGUGGAGGAGGAGUUCGGGUCAGCCCACUCCUUCCCGACUGAGAUGGCGGCGUGUGGGCGCCAGUGGGGGGACUUGAACUGCAGCAUUCGAGGCUAGACGGAGACGAUGCCGACCCGUUGAGGGACGUCAUGUCUACCAGGAUGUUGUUGUGCGGGCCUUCUCCGCCUCACGCGGAUUGUUGUUUGGAGGCUAGACAGGGGCGCUACGGACCUGUCCGUUGAGGGAUGCCGUGUCUAGCAGCAUAUUGUUGUGCCUCCUCUCCUUCGCCUGGCUCAUGUGGGACUUCUCCCCAUUCCCUCUUACUAAUUCUCUUUUUUCGAUCUGCUCAUCAGCCUAGGUUAUUCUUUCUCCUCCAUGUUUUUGAUUCUUUCACUGUUUGUAUCUUUUUGCUCGCCCAGGUGCUUGCGUAGGUUGUUGUGUUCUUAGUGUCCAGUCUAAGGGAUCAAUUCAUAUUUAAUUUCCGCAUUCUUCGAACUAUGAUUUCUACCACUGUUCAUAUCAACCAAUACUGAAAAUAGUACCUUGCAGGGACACCAACAGGACAGCUAUGCAACCAUACUUGGUAAAAGAGAUUUGCCGCCUAGAGUGUUUCAACGGAAAAUCAUAACGUGUGUCCCCCGGAUCUAGGAGUACAUGCCUAUAGGGAUCAAUCUACCUGGCAAAAAGUGUUAGAGUCGGACUUCAUUAUUAGUACCGAGAGGGCAACACAAUGGAAGGCUGUGUACCACCCAAUCGAGUAUACAAGUUCAGAGAACAACUAAAGGAAGGUUCUAUCUACAGGUUUGAGUUUUUUAUUGUUGCUACAGCAUGGAACAAAUACAAGACAGCCAAUCAUCCGUACAGGAUCAAAAUUACUCAACGCACAAAGGUCAUCGAAGCAAUUCCGGAUUCUAAAAUGUUUCCUUUGUUUCCGUAUAAUGCGAAUCAUUUGCUGUUCUGUAGUCACCCUAAUCCUUUGCUAUUCUGUAGUCACGCGCAGGGGACAACACCUUUCUAUCAGACGUUGAUGUACCGGUGACCAUGGACCAUUCUUAAUGAAUAUCACUCGGUCGAAUACGAAUCAAGAGCCAAGGAGGCAUAUCGUCUUAAAAGAUGCUAGUCACUUGAAUCGUUUGCUAUUCUGUAGUCAUGCGCAGGGGACAACACCUUUCUAUCAGAUGUUGCUGUACUGGUGACCAUGGACCAUUGUUAAUGAAUAUCACUCGGUCGAGUACGAAUCAAGAGCCAAGGAGGCAUAUUCUCUUAAAAUAUGCUAGGUGGUGGAAAUGUGUUGUUGGUGUUCUAAGUCCAUUGUUGCCCAGUGCACAGCAUGCCUCCAGUGAUCUUGCAUCGUAAUAAUUUAUAGAACAAGGUGUCACAAAGGAAGUGGACACUGAGUGGGUUCGAUCGAAGAGAAGUUUGUGCUGGGUUUCCUGAGCUGAUUGGGAUGCGUCUCCUUCAGCCGGUAAAAGGAGUAGUUUACAAGUUUAAACUAAAAAGGAAACUUGCUAUUGGGCUUCCUUCAAUAUCAGUGUUUCGGACCAGAUCAGAUAUGAGAUGAAUCAGAUCAAUCGGGGAAAAUAUUGGACGAUCUUAGUCUUAACAUGAUACUUUUCUACCACUUAUUGGGUACUAUAUUUAUAAGCUUCUAAGUUUUGUUCCAUUGGUUGGAAGGAAGUGGCCGUGAUGAGUCCAAUCGAGGGGCAGUUCAUGCUGGGUUCCAUGUUGUUCGUUGUCCUCCUGUUGCUGAUCUUUUUCCUUAGUUGAUUGGUAUGCAACCUACCGAUUUUAUCUCUUUCCAAGAACUCUGCUAUAUGUAGAUCAUUUGACCGCAGAAAUAGUAGGCUUUGGUUAGAUGAAGGAACUAUGCAGUCAGUACUCUUUUCUUUGUACAGUCAGUGUGCUAAAAACUACCACUGCAUGGUGUUCUACUGUAUAUAUGUGUUGUAUAUAAUUGCAGUCAAUGGAUAUAUAAGAGACUGUCUCUUUUGUUUCA
Molecule: non-coding RNA, 2178 nt
Organism: Lolium perenne
Lineage: Eukaryota; Viridiplantae; Streptophyta; Magnoliopsida; Poales; Poaceae
Source: RefSeq, a predicted model, not a curated record